AUGGACAGGUUCCACGACAGGCAGCACGUGUGGCUGCGGAGCCGCGUGCACGGCACGUACCUCAAGGCCAACAGCGACGGGAAGACCGUCUCCCUUCGCGGCCGCCGCGCCUCGCUGAAGGCCGCGUGGACGGUGCACAUCUACCAGGGUGAGGGCGACGCCGUGUACCUGCUCCUCCACAGCGCCGCCUACGGCCGCUACCUCGCCGCCACGGCCAGGCGCGCGCCGCUCGGGCUCGGCCACAACGGCUUUCGCGCCGAGCAGCGCAACUACGAUGAGCCGGACGUGCAGGCCAUCAUGUGGGAGGCCGUCGGGGCGGGCUCCGGUGACGACGUCAUGCUCCGCAACGUCGGCGGCUGCUACCUCCGCGCCAACGGCAGGUACCUCCGCUGGAACACCGGCGUCAGCGUCGAGGACAUGGACAGAGUCAGCAACAUGGCGCACUGGAUCGUCGAGCCCAUCCCCGCCAGAGAGGCGGGCAUGCCUGACCUUCCUGGCCCGCCCAACCGCGUCCUCUACAUGGUGCUCGGCCAGGCGUGGCGGACGAUCGUGUUCGUGCGAGCGAACGCCGAGGGGUUCUACGACGAGGGCAACUGGCACAUCUUCCCUUUCAGGGGGAGGUCCGUGAACCACCUGAGGAAUGAGCUGGCGGACCGCAUCGCCUUCAUCGACGGCCAGUACCCCGACGGCAUCGCCAUGUGCGUCCGGGCGGGCCUCUAA
Molecule: ribosomal RNA, 720 nt
Filed under: Triticum aestivum (bread wheat)
Lineage: Eukaryota; Viridiplantae; Streptophyta; Magnoliopsida; Poales; Poaceae
Description: partial small subunit ribosomal RNA
Source: RNAcentral